UCACUUUCAUGCAUGCCCUGCUUGUGUGU
RNAcentral lists this non-coding RNA (29 nucleotides) under Rattus norvegicus (Norway rat). Lineage: Eukaryota; Metazoa; Chordata; Mammalia; Rodentia; Muridae. The record is from RNAcentral.